Molecule: ribosomal RNA, 265 nt
Filed under: uncultured archaeon
Lineage: Archaea
Description: partial 16S ribosomal RNA
Rfam family: Archaeal small subunit ribosomal RNA
Source: RNAcentral
ACACGUCUACAUUAGAUACCCGGGUAGUCCCAGCCGUAAACUAUGCUCGCUAGGUGUCAGGCAUGGCGCGACCGUGUCUGGUGCCGCAGGGAAGCCGUGAAGCGAGCCACCUGGGAGGUACGGCCGCAAGGCUGAAACUUAAAGGAAUUGGCGGGGGAGCACAACAACGGGUGGAGCCUGCGGUUUAAUUGGACUCAACGCCGGACAACUCACCGGGAACGACAGCAAUAUGUAGGCCAGGCUGAAGACCUUGCCUGAAUCGCUG